CCUACGGGAGGCAGCAGUGAGGAAUAUUGGUCAAUGGACGAGAGUCUGAACCAGCCAAGUAGCGUGAAGGAUGACUGCCCUAUGGGUUGUAAACUUCUUUUAUAUGGGAAUAAAAUGUUCCACGUGUGGGAUUUUGUAUGUACCAUAUGAAUAAGGAUCGGCUAACUCCGUGCCAGCAGCCGCGGUAAUACGGAGGAUGCGAGCGUUAUCCGGAUUUAUUGGGUUUAAAGGGAGCGUAGGUGGAUUGUUAAGUCAGUUGUGAAAGUUUGCGGCUCAACCGUAAAAUUGCAGUUGAAACUGGCAGUCGUGAGUACAGUAGAGGUAGGCGGAAUUCGUGGUGUAGCGGUGAAAUGCUUAGAUAUCACGAAGAACUCCGAUUGCGAAGGCAGCUCACUGGACUGCAACUGACACUGAGGCUCGAAAGUGUGGGUAUCAAACAGGAUUAGAUACCCUAGUAGUC
This 460-nucleotide ribosomal RNA is filed under the name uncultured bacterium. Its description in RNAcentral is "partial 16S ribosomal RNA". It matches the Rfam family "Bacterial small subunit ribosomal RNA", at positions 338 to 795 of the family's 1533-position model. The record is from RNAcentral.